Molecule: microRNA precursor, 56 nt
Filed under: Dasypus novemcinctus (nine-banded armadillo)
Lineage: Eukaryota; Metazoa; Chordata; Mammalia; Cingulata; Dasypodidae
Description: miRNA (ENSDNOG00000031580.1)
Source: RNAcentral
CGUGGGGACCGGGGUCCGGUGCGGAGAGCCCCUCUUCCCAGAAAUGGGGCGCGUCC